AGGACGAACGCUGGCGGCGUGCUUAACACAUGCAAGUCGAGCGACGCACCACUUCGGUGGUGACGGAGCGGCGAACGGGUGAGUAACACGUGGGCAACCUGCCCCUAGCUCUGGGACAACACCGGGAAACCGGUGCUAAUACCGGAUACGACACCGAGCGGCAUCGCUUCGGUGUGGAAAGUUUUUCGGCUAGGGAUGGGCCCGCGGCCUAUCAGCUUGUUGGUGGGGUAAUGGCCCACCAAGGCGACGACGGGUAGCCGGCCUGAGAGGGCGACCGGGCCACGACGUGGGACUGAGACACGGCCAGACUCCUACGGGAGGCAGCAGUGGGAAUAUUGCGCAAUGGGCGAAAGGCCUAGACGCGAGCGACGACCGCGGUGAAGGGAUGAAGGCGUUCGGGUUGUAAACCUCUUCAGCAGGACGAAUCAGACGUACCUGCAGAAGAAGCACCGGACC
This 456-nucleotide ribosomal RNA is filed under the name uncultured soil bacterium. RNAcentral describes it as "bacterial SSU rRNA". It matches the Rfam family "Bacterial small subunit ribosomal RNA", at positions 26 to 499 of the family's 1533-position model. The record is from RNAcentral.